Molecule: long non-coding RNA, 473 nt
Filed under: Mustela putorius furo (domestic ferret)
Lineage: Eukaryota; Metazoa; Chordata; Mammalia; Carnivora; Mustelidae
Description: lncRNA (ENSMPUG00000028808.1)
Source: RNAcentral
AAACAUGCCUAUAUUAUUUAACUUUCUCAGUGUGGAAACAAUGAAGUUCUAAAGUAAAUGCCUUUUGUUUUCAGACUGUCUCCCUUGAGCACCUUAGCCUGGAUGGCUAUGCACCCAGGAAUGCCACCUAAGGGGAAGGAAAGGCAGAUGGCUGUUUAUAAGCCUACAACUCUUCUUGAGAAAUCAUGGAGAACAACCUAAACUGUACAUUAAGGCUCAACCACAUCAGUUCCACAUACUAAAACCAAGCCCCAGGCCACUUGUCUGCUGCUUGUCAUGGUCCUCGGCAUCACUGGUAAGGCCUGUGGGCCAGGGUUUCUCACAUUGGCCAACAGGCUUCUUUGAUGGGCACGGGUACUCAAGGCUUCCCUCCUUCCACCCCCUCCCACCCUCAUUAGAGGUGGGGGGUGGGGGGGAAACCAGGCGUGACAGAUUCAAGGAGUUCUUAACAAAUAAUGUUCGGAAGAAAUCCC